Non-coding RNA from Paramicrosporidium saccamoebae, 89 nucleotides. The record is from the annotation of a GenBank genome assembly. NCBI's taxonomy places the organism in Eukaryota, Fungi, Rozellomycota.
UGUUAGUUGUCUGAGAGGUUUAAAGAGUCGUUUUUGAAAAACGAAGAAUCUUAUUUUUGAUUCCAAAGGUUCGAAUCCUUUACUAACCA